UACAGGGGGUGCAAACGUUGCUCGGAAUUACUGGGCGUAAAGGGUCUGUAGGUGGCCAACUAAGUCAGACGUGAAAUCCCUCAGCUUAACUGGGGAACUGCGUCUGAUACUGGAUGGCUUAAGUGUGGGAGAGGAAUGCGGAAUUCCAGGUGUAGCGGUGAAAUGCGUAGAUAUCUGGAGGAACACCGGUGGCGAAGGCGGCAUUCUGGACCAUAACUGACACUGAGAGACGAAAGCCAGGGGAGCAAACGGG
Molecule: ribosomal RNA, 253 nt
Filed under: uncultured bacterium
Lineage: Bacteria
Description: partial 16S ribosomal RNA
Rfam family: Bacterial small subunit ribosomal RNA
Source: RNAcentral